This 484-nucleotide ribosomal RNA is filed under the name uncultured bacterium. Its description in RNAcentral is "partial 16S ribosomal RNA". It matches the Rfam family "Bacterial small subunit ribosomal RNA", at positions 30 to 507 of the family's 1533-position model. The record is from RNAcentral.
AUUGAACGCUGGCGGCAGGCCUAACACAUGCAAGUCGAGCGGAUGAAGGGAGCUUGCUCCUGGAUUCAGCGGCGGACGGGUGAGUAAUGCCUAGGAAUCUGCCUGGUAGCGGGGGCUAACGUCCGGAAACGGGCGCUAAUACCGCAUACGUCCUGAGGGAGAAAGUGGGGGAUCUUCGGACCUCACGCUCUCAGAUGAGCCUAGGUCGGAUUAGCUAGUUGGUGGGGUAAAGGCCUACCAAGGCGACGAUCCGUAACUGGUCUGAGAGGAUGAUCAGUCACACUGGAACUGAGACACGGUCCAGACUCCUACGGGAGGCAGCAGUGGGGAAUAUUGGACAAUGGGCGAAAGCCUGAUCCAGCCAUGCCGCGUGGGUGAAGAAGGUCUUCGGAUUGUAAAGCACUUUAAGUUGGGAGGAAGGGCAGUAAGUUAAUACCUUGCUGUUUUGACGGUACCAACAGAAUAAGCACCGGCUAACUUCGUG